GAUAAGAACGUAGCGAAAUGCGAUAAGUAGUGUGAAUUGCAGAAUUCAGUGAAUCAUCGAAUCUUUGAACGCACAUUGCGCCUCCUGGUAUUCCGGGAGGCAUGCCUGUUCGAGCGUCAUUAAAAUCACUCAAGCUUAGGUUUACCUAUUGCUUGGUCUUGGAGAUGGAAGCCAAUUUAUUGGAAUCCUCUUCGAAAUUCAAUGGCGAAGACCCUUGCUCUCCCAAGUGUAGUAAUAACUUAUGUCACUGAAGGAAGCGAGAAAUCUUCUACCGUAACCCCCAUAUUUUCUAUGAUUGACCUCGGAUCAGGUAGGGAUACCCGCUGAACUUAAGCAUAUCAAUAAGCGGAGGA
RNAcentral lists this unclassified non-coding RNA (353 nucleotides) under soil metagenome. RNAcentral's name for it is "partial contains 5.8S ribosomal RNA, internal transcribed spacer 2, and large subunit ribosomal RNA". The stretch from base 4 to 119 matches the Rfam family "5.8S ribosomal RNA", at positions 39 to 154 of the family's 154-position model. The record is from RNAcentral.